CAUGCAAGUCGGACGGUAGCACAGAGGAGCUUGCUCUUGGGUGACGAGUGGCGGACGGGUGAGUAAUGUCUGGGGAUCUGCCCGAUAGUAGGGGGAUAACCACUGGAAACGGUGGCUAAUACCGCAUAACGUCGCAAGACCAAAGAGGGGGACCUUCGGGCCUCUCACUAUCGGAUGAACCCAGAUGGGAUUAGCUAGUAGGCGGGGUAAUGGCCCACCUAGGCGACGAUCCCUANCUGGUCUGANAGGAUGACCAGCCACACUGGAACUGAGACACGGUCCAGACUCCUACGGGAGGCAGCAGUGGGGAAUAUUGCACAAUGGGCGCAAGCCUGAUGCAGCCAUGCCGCGUGUAUGAAGAAGGCCUUCGGGUUGUAAAGUACUUUCAGCGGGGAGGAAGGCGACGGGGUUAAUAACUCUGUCGAUUGACGUUACCCGCAG
Molecule: ribosomal RNA, 441 nt
Filed under: uncultured Pseudomonadota bacterium
Lineage: Bacteria; Pseudomonadati; Pseudomonadota
Description: bacterial SSU rRNA
Rfam family: Bacterial small subunit ribosomal RNA
Source: RNAcentral